RNAcentral lists this ribosomal RNA (241 nucleotides) under uncultured bacterium. RNAcentral describes it as "partial 16S ribosomal RNA". It matches the Rfam family "Bacterial small subunit ribosomal RNA", at positions 95 to 339 of the family's 1533-position model. The record is from RNAcentral.
GUGGCGGACGGGUGAGUAACGCGUAGGAAUCUGCCUUAUAGUGGGGGACAACGUGGGGAAACCCACGCUAAUACCGCAUACGCCCUACGGGGGAAAGCAGGGGAUCUUCGGACCUUGCGCUAUUGGAUGAGCCUGCGUUGGAUUAGCUUGUUGGUGGGGUAAAGGCCUACCAAGGCGACGAUCCAUAGCUGGUCUGAGAGGAUGUUCAGCCACACUGGAACUGAGACACGGUCCAGACUCC